This 406-nucleotide ribosomal RNA is filed under the name uncultured bacterium. RNAcentral describes it as "partial 16S ribosomal RNA". It matches the Rfam family "Bacterial small subunit ribosomal RNA", at positions 30 to 526 of the family's 1533-position model. The record is from RNAcentral.
AUUGAACGCUGGCGGCAGGCCUAACACAUGCAAGUCGAGCGAGCGGCGGACGGGUGAGUAAUGUAUGGGGAUCUGCCUGAUGGCGGGGGAUAACUACUGGAAACGGUAGCUAAUACCGCAUACCAUCAGAUGAACCCAUAUGGGAUUAGCUUGUAGGUGAGGUAACGGCUCACCUAGGCGACGAUCCCUAGCUGGCCUGAGAGGAUGAUCAGCAACCGUUGGACUUGGACACGGCCCAGACUCCUACGGUAGGCAGCAGUGGGGAAUAUUGCACAAUGGGCGCAAGCCUGAUGCAGCCAUGCCGCGUGUAUGAAGAAGGCCUUAGGGUUGUAAAGUACUUUCAGCGGGGAGGCGUUACCCGCAGAAGAAGCACCGGCUAACUCCGUGCCAGCCGCCGCGGUAAUAC